UACUCUUACUUUCCAGAGACCUAAGCACAGAUAGAUGGGGGCCUUCGGGAACUCUGAGACGGGUGCGGCAUGGCCAUGGUCAGCUCGUGUUGUGAUAUGUUGGGUUAGGUCCCGCACCGGCCGCAACCCUUAUCCUUGUCUGCCAGCGGUUCGCCCGGGAACUCAAAGGAGACUGCCAGUGAUAAACUGGAGGAAGGUGGGGAUGACGUCAAGUCAUCAUGGCCCUUACGAGUAGGGCUACACACGUGCUACAAUGGUGCAUACAAAGAGAAGCGAACUCGCGAGGGCAAGCGGACCUCAUAAAGUGCGUCGUAGUCCGGAUUGGAGUCUGCAACUCGACUCCAUGAAGUCGGAAUCGCUAGUAAUCGUAGAUCAGAAUGAUACGGGAAUA
RNAcentral lists this ribosomal RNA (391 nucleotides) under Enterobacter sp. RG18. RNAcentral's name for it is "bacterial SSU rRNA". It matches the Rfam family "Bacterial small subunit ribosomal RNA", at positions 976 to 1368 of the family's 1533-position model. Lineage: Bacteria; Pseudomonadati; Pseudomonadota; Gammaproteobacteria; Enterobacterales; Enterobacteriaceae. The record is from RNAcentral. RNAcentral also lists the same sequence under 1 other name.